AUUGAACGCUGGCGGCAGGCCUAACACAUGCAAGUCGAGCGGAUGAAGGGAGCUUGCUCCUGGAUUCAGCGGCGGACGGGUGAGUAAUGCCUAGGAAUCUGCCUGGUAGUGGGGGAUAACGUCCGGAAACGGGCGCUAAUACCGCAUACGUCCUGAGGGAGAAAGUGGGGGAUCUUCGGACCUCACGCUAUCAGAUGAGCCUAGGUCGGAUUAGCUAGUUGUUGGGGUAAAGGCCUACCAAGGCGACGAUCCGUAACUGGUCUGAGAGGAUGAUCAGUCACACUGGAACUGACACACGGUCCAGACUCCUACGGGAGGCAGCAGUGGGGAAUAUUGGACAAUGGGCGAAAGCCUGAUCCAGCCAUGCCGCGUGUGUGAAGAAGGUCUUCGGAUUGUAAAGCACUUUAAGUUGGGAGGAAGGGCAGUAAGUUAAUACCUUGCUGUUUUGACGUUACCAACAGAAUAAGCACCGGCUAACUUCGUG
This 484-nucleotide ribosomal RNA is filed under the name uncultured bacterium. RNAcentral describes it as "partial 16S ribosomal RNA". It matches the Rfam family "Bacterial small subunit ribosomal RNA", at positions 30 to 507 of the family's 1533-position model. The record is from RNAcentral.